GACGAACGCUGGCGGCGUGCCUAAUACAUGCAAGUUGAGCGCUGAAGGUUGGUACUUGUACCAACUGGAUGAGCAGCGAACGGGUGAGUAACGCGUGGGGAAUCUGCCUUUGAGCGGGGGACAACAUUUGGAAACGAAUGCUAAUACCGCAUAAAAACUUUAAACACAAGUUUUAAGUUUGAAAGAUGCAAUUGCAUCACUCAAAGAUGAUCCCGCGUUGUAUUAGCUAGUUGGUGAGGUAAAGGCUCACCAAGGCGAUGAUACAUAGCCGACCUGAGAGGGUGGUCGGCCACAGUGGGACUGAGACACGGCCCAAACUCCUACAGGAGGCAGCAGUAGGGAAUCUUCGGCAAUGGACGAAAGUCUGACCGAGCAACGCCGCGUGAGUGAAGAAGGUUUUCGGAUCGUAAAACUCUGUUGGUAGAGAAGAACGUUGGUGAGAGUGGAAAGCUCAUCAAGUGACGGUAACUACCCAGAAAGGGACGGCUAACUACGUG
Molecule: ribosomal RNA, 497 nt
Filed under: uncultured bacterium
Lineage: Bacteria
Description: partial 16S ribosomal RNA
Rfam family: Bacterial small subunit ribosomal RNA
Source: RNAcentral